RNAcentral lists this ribosomal RNA (607 nucleotides) under uncultured bacterium. RNAcentral describes it as "bacterial SSU rRNA". It matches the Rfam family "Bacterial small subunit ribosomal RNA", at positions 331 to 929 of the family's 1533-position model. The record is from RNAcentral.
CCAGACUCCUACGGGAGGCAGCAGUGGGGAAUCUUCCGCAAUGGACGAAAGUCUGACGGAGCAACGCCGCGUGAGUGAUGACGGCCUUCGGGUUGUAAAGCUCUGUUAAUCGGGACGAAAGGCCUUCUUGCGAAUAGUGAGAAGGAUUGACGGUACCGGAAUAGAAAGCCACGGCUAACUACGUGCCAGCAGCCGCGGUAAUACGUAGGUGGCAAGCGUUGUCCGGAAUUAUUGGGCGUAAAGCGCGCGCAGGCGGAUCAGUCAGUCUGUCUUAAAAGUUCGGGGCUUAACCCCGUGAUGGGAUGGAAACUGCUGAUCUAGAGUAUCGGAGAGGAAAGUGGAAUUCCUAGUGUAGCGGUGAAAUGCGUAGAUAUUAGGAAGAACACCAGUGGCGAAGGCGACUUUCUGGACGAAAACUGACGCUGAGGCGCGAAAGCCAGGGGAGCGAACGGGAUUAGAUACCCCGGUAGUCCUGGCCGUAAACGAUGGGUACUAGGUGUAGGAGGUAUCGACCCCUUCUGUGCCGGAGUUAACGCAAUAAGUACCCCGCCUGGGGAGUACGACCGCAAGGUUGAAACUCAAAGGAAUUGACGGGGGCCCGCACAAG